UUUUGAAUCAGCGGCGUUGUUAUUGACGCCAUAUUGCUGGUGUGGGAGAGUCACAGAGGGAAGCGCUGCCGCCAUCGCUCUUCAUCGGCGGCCCCCAGCCGGCGAGCCGAGCCCAGCUCCGCACCUACCGUCCCAGCAACCGCCCCGGGAACGGCCGGGGGCGGAAUUCGCGGGGGCGGGGCGGGCGGAGAGCGAAUCCGUCGGCGAAGGAGCCGCCGGGGGGGCCGGAGCCGCUCCCUGGAGAGGGCGAUAGGGAGGAGGCGGAGGCCCUGACGCAGCUCCCCCCCGCCAUCCGCCCCAGACGGUGGGGAAGGCGCCUCUGGGCUGGGCCGGCUGCUGCCGUCUCCCCCUCCCCUCGCACCGAGCCCCCGUACCCCGCUCUCCCCGGGUCUCCGCAGCCCCCGGCCCGCUCCCCCCCGGCCAUGGCUUGCGGCGCCACGUUGAAACGGACUCUGGAUUUCGACCCUCUGCUGAGCCCGGCCUCCCCGAAGCGGAGGCGAUGUGCGCCAUUGUCAGCCCCGGCCUCCUCGGCCGCCGCCGCCUCCUCCUUCGCCGCCGCCUCGCCGCAGAAAUACCUGCGCAUGGAGCCCUCGCCCUUCGGGGAGGUGUCCUCCCGCCUCACCACAGAACAAAUUCUGUACAACAUAAAACAGGAGUACAAACGCAUGCAGAAGAGGAGACAUUUAGAAAAUAGCUUCCAGCAGACAGAUCCAUGUUGUUCUACUGAUGCACAGCCACAUGCAUUUCUCCUUACUGGACCAGCUUUGCCAGGUACUUCAUCUGCAGCAUCGUCACCAUUGAAAAAAGAACAGCCCCUGUUUACUCUCAGACAAGUUGGAAUGAUCUGUGAACGUUUGCUGAAAGAACGUGAAGAGAAAAUCCGUGAAGAGUAUGAAGAAAUUUUGACCACAAAACUUGCAGGAGGAUGGGACUUUCAUGGGGGGGACCCUCAGACUGGGACUCUUCUGUGGAAACCAAGAACUACUACUACAUUUUUGGUUGAAGAUUGCUUUCUUUAACCUUGCCUCUUCUAAGAACAGUGCAGAGCACUUAAAAAACAAUACGACGCAUUUGUGAAGUUCACGCAUGAUCAGAUCAUGCGACGAUAUGGAGAACAGCCUGCUAGUUAUGUUUCAUGAAUCAUGUUUUCUGCAUAUGUGGGCUGCCCUAUACACCCUAAUUGUUGCAAGCUGUCCCAGUAAAAGACUUGCAGCAAUGCCAUAUUUUCCCCCUUCCCCCACCUCCCCCUACCCCCUGUGAACACAGGUUAUUUCAAGCUUUUGUCAGUGGCAACCACUCUUAUGCAGCAACUGGUUUUGGAGUGCUCCCUGAUGUCAGUACCACCUGGAUGUGGACCUUUGCUACCUGUAAUAAUACCAGUGGCCUCAUUUGCUGUAUCAUUACAAUUUGGCUUCUUAUGUUAAUACGUUUGAAAAAGUAAAGGAUUAAAAGCUGGUGUUCUAGAACUUGCCCUUCACUGGUUGUGUAAAUAAAAAUGUAGAAUGACACUUC
Molecule: RNA transcript, 1512 nt
Organism: Mauremys reevesii (Reeves's turtle)
Lineage: Eukaryota; Metazoa; Chordata; Testudines; Geoemydidae
Gene: AKIRIN2
Gene name: akirin 2
Exons: 6
Source: RefSeq, a predicted model, not a curated record